GCUGGGUAUGGUGGCGCAUGCCUGUAAUCCCGGCUACUUGGGAGGCUGAGGUGGGAGGAUCACUUGAGCCUGGGAGGUUGAAGCUGCAGUGAGCCAUGAUUGCACCACUGCACUCCAGCCUGGGCAACAAAGCAAGACUCUGUCUCAA
RNAcentral lists this non-coding RNA (148 nucleotides) under Homo sapiens (human). The record is from Rfam by way of RNAcentral. Lineage: Eukaryota; Metazoa; Chordata; Mammalia; Primates; Hominidae.